RNAcentral lists this ribosomal RNA (1372 nucleotides) under uncultured bacterium. RNAcentral describes it as "bacterial SSU rRNA". It matches the Rfam family "Bacterial small subunit ribosomal RNA", at positions 28 to 1381 of the family's 1533-position model. The record is from RNAcentral.
GAUGAACGCUGGCGGCGUGCCUAAUACAUGCAAGUCGAGCGAACGGACGAGAAGCUUGCUUCUCUGAUGUUAGCGGCGGACGGGUGAGUAACACGUGGAUAACCUACCUAUAAGACUGGGAUAACUUCGGGAAACCGGAGCUAAUACCGGAUAAUAUUUUGAACCGCAUGGUUCAAAAGUGAAAGACGGUCUUGCUGUCACUUAUAGAUGGAUCCGCGCUGCAUUAGCUAGUUGGUAAGGUAACGGCUUACCAAGGCAACGAUGCAUAGCCGACCUGAGAGGGUGAUCGGCCACACUGGAACUGAGACACGGUCCAGACUCCUACGGGAGGCAGCAGUAGGGAAUCUUCCGCAAUGGGCGAAAGCCUGACGGAGCAACGCCGCGUGAGUGAUGAAGGUCUUCGGAUCGUAAAACUCUGUUAUUAGGGAAGAACAUAUGUGUAAGUAACUGUGCACAUCUUGACGGUACCUAAUCAGAAAGCCACGGCUAACUACGUGCCAGCAGCCGCGGUAAUACGUAGGUGGCAAGCGUUAUCCGGAAUUAUUGGGCGUAAAGCGCGCGUAGGCGGUUUUUUAAGUCUGAUGUGAAAGCCCACGGCUCAACCGUGGAGGGUCAUUGGAAACUGGAAAACUUGAGUGCAGAAGAGGAAAGUGGAAUUCCAUGUGUAGCGGUGAAAUGCGCAGAGAUAUGGAGGAACACCAGUGGCGAAGGCGACUUUCUGGUCUGUAACUGACGCUGAUGUGCGAAAGCGUGGGGAUCAAACAGGAUUAGAUACCCUGGUAGUCCACGCCGUAAACGAUGAGUGCUAAGUGUUAGGGGGUUUCCGCCCCUUAGUGCUGCAGCUAACGCAUUAAGCACUCCGCCUGGGGAGUACGACCGCAAGGUUGGAACUCAAAGGAAUUGACGGGGACCCGCACAAGCGGUGGAGCAUGUGGUUUAAUUCGAAGCAACGCGAAGAACCUUACCAAAUCUUGACAUCCUUUGACAACUCUAGAGAUAGAGCUUUCCCCUUCGGGGGACAAAGUGACAGGUGGUGCAUGGUUGUCGUCAGCUCGUGUCGUGAGAUGUUGGGUUAAGUCCCGCAACGAGCGCAACCCUUAAGCUUAGUUGCCAUCAUUAAGUUGGGCACUCUAAGUUGACUGCCGGUGACAAACCGGAGGAAGGUGGGGAUGACGUCAAAUCAUCAUGCCCCUUAUGAUUUGGGCUACACACGUGCUACAAUGGACAAUACAAAGGGCAGCGAAACCGCGAGGUCAAGCAAAUCCCAUAAAGUUGUUCUCAGUUCGGAUUGUAGUCUGCAACUCGACUACAUGAAGCUGGAAUCGCUAGUAAUCGUAGAUCAGCAUGCUACGGUGAAUACGUUCCCGGGUCU